This 579-nucleotide small RNA is filed under the name human gut metagenome. The record is from RNAcentral.
AAAUAAUAACGGUGGUGCAGUAUUCUAGUCAGCAAUGCUGUUCCUGAAAGCGGGCCUAAAAAUCCGUUGAGGGCACAUCGAUGAAGUUCCUGGUGUUUGCUUUCGAUGCCAGUCGGGGGUUUAUGCUGGGAGUUAAGAAGACCGGGCGGUCUGCAAAGGCAUGUGGAAGGCGACCCGUUCUUCGUGGAGACCUAUAUGGGUGGUCGGCAACUUGAGUUCGAUUACUCCAUAGGAUUAAACCUGUAUUGCGGUAAACGCUGUGUACAGUGUAGCCUGCCUUGAGUGGUGUCAGGGGAAUAAGGCGGUUUUGCAAUAUCGCAUAACCCUUUUGAAACCUGUACUGCAAAAGAGGCUAGGGGAUGGUAAAGCUGCUGAGGAAAGCUCCUAGACUGUUGAAAAUAAGGCAUAUUGGGGAUUACGGUGCGCGCUAAGUGGCAGUCCGGCCCUGCGUAUGGAGACAGCGCAGCGUCCGACAUAAUGGGAAACCGCUUCUAACGGCGACGGGAAGUGGCGGGCGAGGAAAUCUAGCCGGACCUUAAGGCGCAAAGUUUACUCAAUGUGCCACCACCAUAUAUCUAU